Long non-coding RNA from Homo sapiens (human), 2062 nucleotides. RefSeq lists it as uncharacterized. The transcript is spliced from 2 exons. Lineage: Eukaryota; Metazoa; Chordata; Mammalia; Primates; Hominidae. The record is from RefSeq and is a predicted model, not a curated record.
GAUUGGGCAGGUGUGGUGAUCCUGGAGCUCUGGGCUUCCAUACCUGUGUGGGACAGGGAAGCUCUCUUGGUCUCCAUGGCCCAAGUGAUGGCUGCGCGCUCAGUCCAGGAAGAGGGGGAGGCAAGCCCACCGUUCCCCACAUUGGCCUUCCAGGAAAGGCGGUGUUGCAUCCCACCUGCACUUCCUGUCUGAUCCUUGAGGGCCAACCGGUCCCUCCGCUCCUGGGGAAAGCGCCUUCUAGCACUGAAUCUUUUGGCUGCCACGGAUGUCAGGGAGCCAACGGGACUGGGUUUUGGCUGGGUGCAGGGGAGGUUGCGUCAGGGGUACCUAAGCGGUAGCGGCGUGGGGGUGGGGUGUACUUGGUCCAAAGCUCUGGGCUCCUCUGGCGGGCCUCCCUGAAUGUGGCCUGGACUCGCGCACUGGCCCUGUCUCGCAGGUUUGCAGGUGCGCUUGGCUUUUCCUCCGCUUUGUGGGGCAGGUCUCCAGUGGCCCCCGGGCGCACGCCUGGACAUCACUGUCCAUCUCGUCGUCGCCCCCUACGGCCUCAAAGACACACGCUCACUGCAUGUGCUCUUGGGGGACGUCAGUGCCACGUUUGGUCACACGGGCUCCAGCUCGGACUCGCCUCUGUCUGUCUUUGCCGGUGUCGCCGGAAGCUGCGUUGGGAUGCCGGAGCCCCCGGGCCUUGGAGAUGAAGGCAGGUCCCUGCUCCCCCCAGGAAGGACGGAGGCAGUGGGCUCAUGGGUCAGUGCGGUUGCAGACGACAGCACGCCUUGCGGCCCUGGGGAUCUUUCCGUGCCCCGGCGAGACCCUUUCCGCCUCACUGCAUAGUGACCUCAUUCCCGAUCAGCCGGUGGGAGCCAUCAUCGGAUCCCAAGAGGUGUCCGCGCAGCCCAGCCAGCACCCCGAAGGUCCUCCUUCACCGGGAACAGAAGCAGGAGACCGAUCAAGGAGGUCCUGACGACAGGACUCCUAUGGGUCCGACCCUGGGUCUCCCGCAGGCCCCUCUGGUAGUCCUCUUCCCACCCGCCGCCUCGGGCUGCGCCGCAGCCGCCGCCGCCGCAACCUCCAGCACCGCCGCCCCAGUCCCCGCAGCCGCCGCGUCGCCGCCAUUUUUUAAAGGGUCCGCAGCCUGACUCUGCUGAGUAAGGAGGGGUGGGGCGGGUGAGUCGGCCUCGCCAGUGCGCAUGCGCGAGGCCCCAGCCGCCGCUUUGGUCACAGUGACCGCCACCGUUGCUCGGGGAUGGGUCCCUGAGACUUGGCGAAGUAGGAGCCCUGUGUGAUCGUGCGUCAGAGUCGGGGCUCAGACCAGUCGUGGCCAGGGCAGUUACCAGGACGGUCUCCGGAGGCCGGGAUUCGCGGAGGGUCAACCAGGAGGAAGAAACGCCAGAAGGAAGAAACCUGAGACAGAUCGCCGGGGACGCAGCACGGGAUCCCAGCCUGAGGCGUGCGGGGACGGUGUGCGGGUCGGCCUUUCUUCUGGUCAGCCUCUCCCCGCGUCACUGCCUGGGUCGUGUGGCCGGAUGGCAGUCGGUUUCCCGGCGGUUCCGGUUUGGGGGUCUGUGAAGGCCUGCGCAACGCGGGCAUCUGCGUCGGAACCGCAGGGGUUUUCGUCCCCUCCCCAUCCGGAGCAGCCUCUUUGCUAGGCUAGAUCCAGACGACCGCUCCACAAGCAAGGACAACGGCCUCCCAGGCGCUCAUUGUUCAACCGCAGGAGGGUGCCCGCAGACCUUCAAGAAGAUGGUUCUCACGCCUCUCGCCCUCUCCCUCAUGGAGAAAUGGAGCCACAGCUCGACGCAGGGACGGAGAAGGAAGCCGGCAAGGGGAUGGGGCAAGCAUCUCUGUCACUCAAAAGCUGGCCUUCCUGACCGAGUCACCCGUCUGACACUCCUCCCCGGAUGCCCGUGGUGGUGGCAUGGCCCCGUAUCCUGCCUGGACUCUGGCCUCUGCUCUGUCCUCCCUCUUGCUGUGUCUGCCCCGUCUCUGCGAAGCCUGGCGGCUUCUUAGUCUGGCUCAACGUCUUCAACAAAGAAGACUUCCCAGUCCAUCAGGGAGAAACCCC